This 53-nucleotide transfer RNA is filed under the name Flustrellidra hispida. Its description in RNAcentral is "tRNA-His". The record is from RNAcentral. Lineage: Eukaryota; Metazoa; Bryozoa; Gymnolaemata; Ctenostomatida; Flustrellidridae.
GAAAACAAAGUUCAUAGAAUGUUAAAUUGUGAUUUUAAAGGGUACUGUUUUCU